CGGGCCUACGGGGCGCAGCAGUGAGGAAUAUUGGUCAAUGGGCGGGAGCCUGAACCAGCCAAGUCGCGUGAAGGAAGAAGGUACUUAGUAUUGUAAACUUCUUUUGUCGGGGAACAAAGGCGGAGACGCGUCUCCGGAUGAGUGUACCCGAAGAAAAAGCAUCGGCUAACUCCGUGCUAGCAGCCGCGGUAAUACGGAGGAUGCGAGCGUUAUCCGGAUUUAUUGGGUUUAAAGGGUGCGCAGUCGGGGGAUUAA
RNAcentral lists this ribosomal RNA (255 nucleotides) under uncultured bacterium. Its description in RNAcentral is "partial 16S ribosomal RNA". It matches the Rfam family "Bacterial small subunit ribosomal RNA", at positions 334 to 586 of the family's 1533-position model. The record is from RNAcentral.